UUUAAUUUUUUAUCAAAUAUCAAAUUGGGUUUGAGCCCAAUAAGAAAAACGUGACUUAGGUAAAAUAGGGGGUGCAGGGAACAAUUAGUAUUUGUUCUGCCAUGAUGGGCUCAGCAUUGGCCCAGACAGAAAAUAAAAUAAAAAAACAGAUGGGGGGUGGGGUGAGUGAAAAUGGAGGUGCGGAAGUUAAUCUAAACCUAAAAAAAACUAAAGGAAAAACAAAACAAAAAAACCUAAGUCUAACCCUAAUUUCAGAAACCCUUUAGGGGUUCUUCUCAGACUCUCUCAUUUCUCACAUUCACUCUUGGGAAAACCUAGAGUUUCUCUCAAGGAAAAACGACCACCCCAUGAGCCCCCUCCUGCAAGGUUGUCGUGGCCUCCUCCAGUCCUUGCACAUCCGACCACCUCCUGACCCCAAAGCUUCACCGGAAACACCAGGGGUCGCCGGAACAUUGCUAGCCGUGGCAUCCCUGACUUUUCCCCUUCCUCUCGCUUACUCAAAGCAAAUGUCAUCACUGGAACCGAGUGCCUCUGCCGUUCUCCGAUAGCCACCAUCACCUAGAACCGGUCACCGUCAUCGUCAAUCCCUCGCGCCGUCAAAGCCAUCGUGACCUCUAGACGUUCAACCACGGCAGCCACCAUGCCGUCGAUUGUUCGCGCACGGCGUCGCCUACGUCGUCCGAAUCAACUCCGACCACAACUCCGAUGAAACUCAACCUUCCUUGCUUCGCAAUUCUUGUCGUCGCGCCCCCUUGCUCCAAGUUCGUUCAUCGCAAGUGAGAACAAAACGUUCUCACUCCCGCAACUUCCCCUCCCGAUUCAUGGUGAUCCCGACCAUUGAUACUACCAACUCUGUAUCAUCUCCAUGUACUACUGCUUCUAUUUAUUUAUUAUUUUUUUUUUAUUGAAAGUUUGUUAUAUCCAAAAAAAAUGUGAUGAGAAACAGGAUUGUCAUAUCAUAUGGGUUGAAAAUGCUGUCUGAGAUUGCUCCUGUUUGUAUUGUUUCUGUUUUGGGUAAUUUGAAAUAGGGAUAUGAUGAAUUUAGGGCCAGGUUCUUCUGUUGGGAUGAAACGGCUAUGAAGUUCUUCACGGUGUAAGUGAAGGUCGACGAUGUAACGGGGUUGGGCUGUGUGCGAGAGGGGUUUUUUUCUUUUGCUGGUUUGGUCUUCUCUUCUUUUUUUUUGUUAAUACAGGGGCGUUGGUCUUGGUGUAACAAGAGAACUGAAACUGGGGGUUGUUGGUGUUAGGGCCGUGUGUGAAGAUUAUUUGAUGGUUUUGAUGGUGGAGAGAACUCAAAGUGAUACGGGAUAAUGGUGGUAAUACCAAAUAAUGAUGGAGAUCAUCAAUGGAGGAUAAAAAAAAUGCAGGGAUUUUCACAUCAUAACCAUGCUCAGACCCAACAACAUCAAUGCUAAGAUAAAGAAAUAUAAUGCAGCAAGCAUUGAUGACAUGAACAUAGUCAAUCGCCAAUAAUCCUCUCACUCGUAAUACUGUUCCUCUCUUCUGCCUCUGUUUUCUGUUUUUUUCUUUGUUUAUGGUUUUUGAAUAAGGUAUAGAGUGAUGGAUGUUUGUUGGGAUCGUUACGGGUGUGGUCAUGGGGGAAUCCAGAUUGUGUGUGAUGUAUGCCUGUUGAAAUCUGUUGAUGUCUGUGAGUUUGUUGGAGGUGGUCAUUGGUUAAGCAUAGCAGAGUGGUCAAAAAAAUGUGUAUUCUCAUCUUCUCAUUUUUUACAACAAACCUUUUUUCUUCUUU
Vigna radiata var. radiata (mung bean) is the source of this 1750-nucleotide long non-coding RNA. RefSeq lists it as uncharacterized. The transcript is spliced from 2 exons. NCBI's taxonomy places the organism in Eukaryota, Viridiplantae, Streptophyta, Magnoliopsida, Fabales, Fabaceae. The record is from RefSeq and is a predicted model, not a curated record.